This is a non-coding RNA of Labrus bergylta (ballan wrasse), 2532 nucleotides long. Lineage: Eukaryota; Metazoa; Chordata; Actinopteri; Labriformes; Labridae. The record is from RefSeq and is a predicted model, not a curated record.
AUGUUAACCGUACAAAUGUUUGUUUAUUAUUACAUGGCUUUUUCGCUUCAUGGAUAAAUUACUUUUGUUUGUUGGCUGUACUUCUAUAUCAGAGUCCAACUCUACCUUUUCACAUUGUACGGUUAUUCAAAUGUAAAAAAUAAUAAUAAUAAUAUAUAUAUUUUUUAAUGUCCCCGCUGGAGAAACCGUGCAGCAGCUUGUAUGCUAGAUGAUUUAAGGUGACGAUGGAGGAGCAGAGUGAGGACCAGGUUGGGGGAGGAAUGUCUGUGAAAGAGGAAGAGGUGGAAAAAGACAACCUGACAGAUGAAGCUCUUGCCGCAGAUGAAGAGGACGACGAGGCUCUUCCUCACUCAGAGAUCCUGGACAUUUUCGAGGAAGGACUUGCAAGACUUGUGCAGGACCCUUUACUUUGUGAUCUGCCCAUCCAGGUGACUCUGGAAGAGGUCAAUUCUCAGAUUGCGUUGGAGUAUGGUCAGGCUAUGACUGUGAGGGUUUUCAAGGCAGAUGGAGAAAUAAUGCCCAUCGUGGUGGUGCAGAAUGCCACUGUCCUGGACCUGAAGAAGGCAAUUCGCAGAUUCAUGGAGCUGAAACAACAACGUGAGGGCGGAGUGAAACAUGUCAGCUGGCGGUAUGUCUGGAGAACGUUUAGUUUGGUAUUUCAAGGAGAAAAGCUUGAAGAUGACAAGAUGAGGCUGAAAGACUACGGCAUCAGGAACAGAGAUGAAGUGACGUUCAUGAAGAGACUCCGGAAAAAGUGAGAAGUCACAGCUGACAUUUGUCCAGCAGGAAGAAGAAAAAAAAAAAAAAAACAUUCAGAAAGUUCUCCUGAUGUUUGCUGAACCCCAAAUGUGUACCCAGAAACUCUCUUAACAAACUGAGCAGUCUAUCAGAAAGGCUUCAUGUAUAUACAAUAUGUCGAUGUUUAUUUGGCUGCAACUGAACAGUGAUUUUUGUUUUUGAACUCUACUCAAAUAUUAAAACUUUGUACAUUUCUAAAAAUCUAUUUCUAUGUGCACUUUUACUUUGAGCUUCCAACGACAGUGCCGUGCCACUUUUUCCAGACGGCUGAGUUGUAAACCAGAUGAUUUGAAUACUUCCUGGUAUAAGUCAGCAUUAUAAGUUUUUGUUGAUCUACUUUGAAUGUUAGCUGUUCAGGAUACAUUUGGAGCCAGCUGAGGGAACAAGCAUCAACGAUGACUUCUCCCGACUGCCAGCUGAAGGAGAUUUCUACCGAGUUGAACCUUAAUUCCCUAAAGACACAGCAACUCCUGGAGAGGAAAAAAAUCCUCAGUUUAUUUCUGGAGUUGAGGAAUCGUGCUGAGUUUCACCAAACAGAGGAGUCGGCAUCAAAUCAGAAGGAGAUUAUCGACAUUGAUGAAAAAGUGAACCAACUGGCAGAAAGGAAGGCUGAACUCCAAAAAAGACUGGAAAACAUACACAAUGGCAGAGAACACACUGACGAGAAGAAAGAGGUUAGCUCCCCCUCCGGUCCAAAGAUGGUUUCUGGUGAACUUUCUGCUUCCCCAAAUAUUUUCUACAUUGAGGCUCCGCCUAAUAUUCCAGCCCCUAAAGUGUACCUGGACUUGGAGAACCUUCCUCCGUGUCCAUGCAGGACUCAGUGUCCAGAGUGUCAGCAGUUUGUUGUAUCAGAGACGUUCACCUCUGUCAGCAGUGUGACCUGGCUGAUGUGUUGCAUGAUAGCUAUGGUUGGCUGCGUGGCCGGUUGCUGCCUCAUUCCCUUCUGCAACAAAAAGUUCAAAACCAUCGUACACAGAUGUCCUUUGUGUCGAACAAAAAUCCAAAGAAUACAAAGGCUCUGAGAGGAAAGCUGCAGGAGAGUUCUUGAAGCUCACUAAGGGGCAGAAAAUGAAUUUUUGUUGUGUAUAUUUGUAUUUGAGUUGCUCAACGUGAAUAUGGUAAAGUGAUAUCACCGUGUUUGUCACUGCGUCAUUCAUGAUGGAAAGAACCUGCAUAAAUUCCAUUUUUGGAGUUUUUUCCAGGACAUCAACCAAUAUCUCCUCUCACAAGAAAUGACAUUGUAUUUGAUAUUUCAUAAAGGACAGCAAACAUGACUUGAUAAUGAACAAUCUGAUUGCCCAAAGACACUUCAACAUCUGACUGCAGGACCUUGGGAUCAAACCCCCAACCUUCUAUGUACUUCACAUGGGAGAUAGAUAAGCUUUAACUAUGCAUGACCUUUUUCUUUGCUACUGUUAUCUUUGUUGAUAUGUGUUGGAAUGACUCUCAGAGGCAUUGGUAUUUAUUUUUUAAGAUGAAUCUAGCAUUUUUUAGUCAGCAUAGGUGUGUUUCUGCGUUUAUUAGAAUAGGAGCACAUAAUGGGUCCAUUUCAUUUGCUAUUCGUACAACAUAUUUGAUGGAAGUGAAAAUAACAGCUGCUUGAGGUGGAAAAUAGCUGCGGGUAUAAAACCUCAACUGUGAGGUAAUGGUUGUACAUGGUGAGUUAAAUUGGAGUCAAAUUCCUUGCAUGUAUGUGUACACAUACCUGACCAAUAAAUAUGAUGCUGAUUCUGA